RNAcentral lists this ribosomal RNA (194 nucleotides) under uncultured Acinetobacter sp. RNAcentral describes it as "partial 16S ribosomal RNA". It matches the Rfam family "Bacterial small subunit ribosomal RNA", at positions 337 to 522 of the family's 1533-position model. Lineage: Bacteria; Pseudomonadati; Pseudomonadota; Gammaproteobacteria; Moraxellales; Moraxellaceae. The record is from RNAcentral.
UCCUACGGGAGGCAGCAGUGGGGAAUAUUGGACAAUGGGCGAAAGCCUGAUCCAGCCAUGCCGCGUGUGUGAAGAAGGCCUUUUGGUUGUAAAGCACUUUAAGCGAGGAGGAGGCUACUUAGAUUAAUACUCUAGGAUAGUGGACGUUACUCGCAGAAUAAGCACCGGCUAACUCUGUGCCAGCAGCCGCGGUA